UGUGUUGCAGAGUUACUAUAGUUCCCAUGACGAUGUUGAGAAACCAGGACAGGAUGAUGAAGUUAAUAUUGGGUACUUGAGGGAGAUGUUGACUUUGUUGAGAAAUUUCCAUGAGAAGUUUGUUAAAGCAAUGAUCAUAUAGUCUACCAAGGAUCUCACAGCUGUGCCAUUCAAAGACAGCAACUCCCAGCUGAAUGACAACAUCAUUGCCACUGGUGAUUAUCAUUGCCACUGGUGUAAUGACAAGAGCCAUGUAGGUUGUCACCGUGGACCAUGAGGAUGAAAUUCAACCAUCAUCACUACAGAGGGCAUUAAGAAAAAUCUACUAUGCAGGACAUCAAAGGUGCUGGCCAAAUUUCUUUUCAAGGAUAUGGUGGUAUUCAACCUUGGCUUCCCAAAUCCAGCAAAUGGAGGAGAUCUACAUGUACCACCAACUGCCCUAACUGUGCUAGCACAGGGAUUCACUUCCCUAGUGCCCCAGGAUCAAUGGGAAUAAAGGAAAGAGGAAUUCAUGGACUACCAAACAACUCCUGCUGUGGACCUCCCAAGUUUUGUGGAAAACACAAAAACAGAUGUCUACUGCAUGGGAUAGAAUUCUGGACAAAAGAAAUAAAAUUUCCAGUGAUGAUUAGGGCUGGGACUAUAUAUAUCGAGAUAUCUGUGAGGACGAUAGGCAUAUUGAUACAUGUGAAAAAAUAUAGAAAUAUUGUCCCAAAAAAUCUGACUUCCAUUUUUAAAUGUUUAUUUAACAUUUGGGGUUUAAUGUAUAAAAUAAUUAAGCUAAAUAUAAAUAUAGAUUUGAAAUAAAUAAUAAUUUACAUCACUUACAAUUGAGUAAAAUAUUUUUGUGAAAUAAUUUGAUAAUUUCAGUGCAAAAAAAGAUUUUUUGUAAGCAAUUAAACAUAUCAUGAUACAUAUCGUAUUGUGGCUCAAAUAUCGUGAUAUGUAUGGAUAUAGAAAAAGUUGUAUCAUCCCAGCCCUAGUGAUGAUUGAUUGUAUAUUGUUUAACAUCCCUUUCAAGAAUGUUUCACUCAUACAACAGA
Saccostrea cuccullata (small rock oyster) is the source of this 1043-nucleotide long non-coding RNA. RefSeq lists it as uncharacterized. Lineage: Eukaryota; Metazoa; Mollusca; Bivalvia; Ostreida; Ostreidae. The record is from RefSeq and is a predicted model, not a curated record. The transcript is spliced from 3 exons.